RNAcentral lists this ribosomal RNA (449 nucleotides) under uncultured organism. RNAcentral's name for it is "partial 16S ribosomal RNA". It matches the Rfam family "Bacterial small subunit ribosomal RNA", at positions 330 to 796 of the family's 1533-position model. The record is from RNAcentral.
CGUACACUCCUGCGGGAGGCAGCAGUGGGGAAUAUUGGACAAUGGGCGCAAGCCUGAUCCAGCCAUGCCGCGUGAGUGAUGAAGGCCCUAGGGUUGUAAAGCUCUUUCACCGGUGAAGAUAAUGACGGUAACCGGAGAAGAAGCCCCGGCUAACUUCGUGCCAGCAGCCGCGGUAAUACGAAGGGGGCUAGCGUUGUUCGGAUUUACUGGGCGUAAAGCGCACGUAGGCGGACUAUUAAGUCAGGGGUGAAAUCCCGGGGCUCAACCCCGGAACUGCCUUUGAUACUGGUAGUCUUGAGUUCGAGAGAGGUGAGUGGAAUUCCGAGUGUAGAGGUGAAAUUCGUAGAUAUUCGGAGGAACACCAGUGGCGAAGGCGGCUCACUGGCUCGAUACUGACGCUGAGGUGCGAAAGCGUGGGGAGCAAACAGGAUUAGAUACCCUAGUAGUCC